GAGUUUGAUCUUGGCUCAGAUUGAACGCUGGCAGCAUGCCUUACACAUGCAAGUCGAACGGCAGCACGGGAGCUUGCUCCUGGUGGCGAGUGGCGAACGGGUGAGUAAUGCAUCGGAACGUAUCCUGGAGUGGGGGAUAACGUAGCGAAAGUUACGCUAAUACCGCAUAUUCUGUGAGCAGGAAAGCGGGGGACCUUCGGGCCUCGCGCUCUUGGAGCGGCCGAUGUCGGAUUAGCUGGUUGGUGAGGUAAAGGCUCACCAAGGCGACGAUCCGUAGCAGGUCUGAGAGGAUGAUCUGCCACACUGGAACUGAGACACGGUCCAGACUCCUACGGAGGCAGCAGUGGGAAUUUUGGACAAUGGGGCAACCCUGAUCCAGCCAUGCCGCGUGAGUGAAGAAGGCCUCGG
RNAcentral lists this ribosomal RNA (408 nucleotides) under bacterium enrichment culture clone ALO1_GLFRUDD03G787M. RNAcentral's name for it is "bacterial SSU rRNA". It matches the Rfam family "Bacterial small subunit ribosomal RNA", at positions 9 to 420 of the family's 1533-position model. The record is from RNAcentral.